UUCUUCAAAAAAAAAAAAAAAUUUUAUUUCUUUGCCUUAGUCGUAUAUGUCACAAAUAUUUUAGGUAGAAAUCCCAGAAAUGUUCAAUCAACAAGACUAUUUCAGUCUCAAACAAAUAACCAUUCAAAAAGUUCGAUCUCAUAAGAUAAUUAUUAAUUUCCGUAGGUACUUACAAACAAAAUAAUUAAAUCGGUAUCUGCAGGCGUUUCAAAAAUUGAAGAUUUUCACGCUAAGAGUUGGGCUUUGCGUUCUGAAAUAAAUGAAUUAAACGGCAAAUGUUUAAUUCAAGCCGAAAUAAUAAAAUCAUUGAAAGAUUCCAUUGACGAUUUGGAGAAAAAUAAUGGCUUAAAUAAUUUAGUAGAUGACUUGCAACAACAAGUAAUGACUGCAAAAUCUAAUGUCUGCGAGAUGAUGAAGUCGCAUCCUAGUGAAAAACUACCGAGUUUCGACCUACCGGCUCCAGACCCGAAAACAAACGAGAUAAAAGUACUACCAAAUUUAAAAGUUAGUGCUAGUGAUUUCGCCAAAGCCAUAUGCCAGGAAGAAAUUUCAAAAAGAGCCAAAUUGCUAAGUAAGAAUGAAGUGGCCUGAUAAGGGUAUAAGAUUGCAGUAGGGAUUUGAUAAAAACGCUCCAGUUGUAAAAAUCCUAAUAAGUGAUCAGGAAGUCACAGAAGUGCAAGAUUUAUGUUUGAAAUGUGAAAAAAUCAAUGUAUUGAAAGAAGGUGCAAGAGAUACCCCAAACUGGUCGACAUGCAAUCGUGGAUUAGCGAGACUCUUAGUGACGAACGUUAUCGAGCGUCAAAAAAAGUCAAAUUAAAGGAACCAAAAAUUCAAAAAAAAAUAA
RNAcentral lists this long non-coding RNA (844 nucleotides) under Cotesia glomerata. RNAcentral describes it as "uncharacterized LOC123260720". The record is from RNAcentral. Lineage: Eukaryota; Metazoa; Arthropoda; Insecta; Hymenoptera; Braconidae.